GAUGAACGCUGGCGGCGUGCCUAAUACAUGCAAGUCGAGCGAACGGACGAGAAGCUUGCUUCUCUGAUGUUAGCGGCGGACGGGUGAGUAACACGUGGAUAACCUACCUAUAAGACUGGGAUAACUUCGGGAAACCGGAGCUAAUACCGGAUGAUAUUUUGAACCGCAUGGUUCAAUAGUGAAAGACGGUCUUGCUGUCACUUAUAGAUGGAUCCGCGCUGCAUUAGCUAGUUGGUAAGGUAACGGCUUACCAAGGCAACGAUGCAUAGCCGACCUGAGAGGGUGAUCGGCCACACUGGAACUGAGACACGGUCCAGACUCCUACGGGAGGCAGCAGUAGGGAAUCUUCCGCAAUGGGCGAAAGCCUGACGGAGCAACGCCGCGUGAGUGAUGAAGGCCUUCGGAUCGUAAAACUCUGUUAUUAAGGAAGAACAUAUGUGUAAGUAACUGUGCACAUCUUGACGGUACCUAAUCAGAAAGCCACGGCUAACUACGUG
This 497-nucleotide ribosomal RNA is filed under the name uncultured bacterium. Its description in RNAcentral is "partial 16S ribosomal RNA". It matches the Rfam family "Bacterial small subunit ribosomal RNA", at positions 28 to 507 of the family's 1533-position model. The record is from RNAcentral.